This 407-nucleotide ribosomal RNA is filed under the name uncultured prokaryote. RNAcentral's name for it is "bacterial SSU rRNA". It matches the Rfam family "Bacterial small subunit ribosomal RNA", at positions 355 to 774 of the family's 1533-position model. The record is from RNAcentral.
UAAGGAAUAUUGCACAAUGGGCGCAAGCCUGAUGCAGCGACGCCGCGUGAGGGAUGGAGGCCUUCGGGUUGUAAACCUCUUUUAUCGGGGAGCAAGCGUGAGUGAGUUUACCCGUUGAAUAAGCACCGGCUAACUACGUGCCAGCAGCCGCGGUAAUACGUAGGGUGCAAGCGUUAUCCGGAAUUAUUGGGCGUAAAGGGCUCGUAGGCGGUUCGUCGCGUCCGGUGUGAAAGUCCAUCGCUUAACGGUGGAUCCGCGCCGGGUACGGGCGGGCUUGAGUGCGGUAGGGGAGACUGGAAUUCCCGGUGUAAUGGUGGAAUGUGUAGAUAUCCGGAGGAACACCAGUGGCGAAAGCGGCCUCCUGGACCAUUCCUGACACUCAGACGCGAAAGCUAGGGUAGCAAACG